AGCAUAUACUAUAGAGCAGUGAUGGCGAACCUUUUUGAGCCCGAGUGCCCAAACCGCAAUACAUGCCAACAUUUUUUUCUCCUUAAAGUGCCAACACGGCAAUUAAACCCAAAUACUGAGGUUUAAGUUUAGAAAAAAACAACUCGUACUGUUGUCCGAACUAAUAACUUUUGUUUUAAAAGAACACAGAGAGUUCAAUGAUACAAAUUUUAAAUAAUGAUAUAAAUAGAUAA
This is a non-coding RNA of Pelobates cultripes (western spadefoot toad), 233 nucleotides long. Lineage: Eukaryota; Metazoa; Chordata; Amphibia; Anura; Pelobatidae. The record is from the annotation of a GenBank genome assembly.